This 253-nucleotide ribosomal RNA is filed under the name uncultured bacterium. Its description in RNAcentral is "partial 16S ribosomal RNA". It matches the Rfam family "Bacterial small subunit ribosomal RNA", at positions 524 to 776 of the family's 1533-position model. The record is from RNAcentral.
UACAGAGGUCCCGAGCGUUGUUCGGAUUCACUGGGCGUAGAGGGCGCGUAGGCGGAUGUUUAAGUCAGUGGUGAAAGCCCAGGGCUCAACCUUGGAACUGCCAUUGAUACUGGACAUCUUGAGUGCGGGAGAGGUGAGUGGAACGCCGAGUGUAGAGGUGAAAUUCGUAGAUAUUCGGCAGAACACCAGUGGCGAAGGCGACUCACUGGCCCGUAACUGACGCUGAUGCGCGAAAGCGUGGGGAGCAAACAGG